AUGCCAUCCAGUCAUGAUCCAGUGAUCAGAAUGUUCCAUUGUCUUUUCAUUGUUUUGAAAAUCCCACUGUUCUCUAUGCCAUCCAGUCAUGAUCCAGUGAUCAGAAUGUUCCAUUGUCUUUUCAUUGUUUUGAAAAUCUCACUGUUCUCCAUGCCAUCCAGUCAUGAUCCAGUGAUCAGAAUGUUCCAUUGUCUUUUCAUUGUUUUGAAAAUCUCACUGUUCUCCAUGUCAUCCAGUCAUGACCCAGUGAUCAGAAUGUUCCAUUGUCUUUUCAUUGUUUUGAAAAUCUCACUGUCCUUCAUGUCAUCCAGUCAUGAUCCAGUGAUCAGAAUGUUCCAUUGUCUUUUCAUUGUUUUGAAAAUCCCACUGUUUUCCAUGUCAUCCAGUCAUGAUCCAGUGAUCAGAAUGUUCCAUUGUCUUUUCAUUGUUUUGAAAAUCCCACUGUUCUCCAUGUCAUCCAGUCAUGAUCCAGUGAUCAGAAUGUUCCAUUGUCUUUUCAUUGUUUUGAAAAUCCCACUGUUCUCCAUACCAUCCAGUCAUGAUCCAGUGAUCAGAAUGUUCCAUUGUCUUUUCAUUGUUUUGAAAAUCCCACUGUUCUCCAUACCAUCCAGUCAUGAUCCAGUGAUCAGAAUGUUCCAUUGUCUUUUCAUUGUUUUGAAAAUCUUACUGUUCUCCAUGCCAUCCAGUCAUGAUCCAGUGAUCAGAAUGUUCCAUUGUCUUUUCAUUGUUUUGAAAAUCUCACUGUUCUCCAUGCCAUCCAGUCAUGAUCCAGUGAUCAGAAUGUU
Non-coding RNA from Paramuricea clavata, 785 nucleotides. The record is from the annotation of a GenBank genome assembly. Lineage: Eukaryota; Metazoa; Cnidaria; Anthozoa; Malacalcyonacea; Plexauridae.